GUGAAGUGUUCGGAUUGCGGCGACGUGGGCGGUUCGCUGCCCGCGACGUUGUGAGAAGUCCACUGAACCUUAUCAUUUAGAGGAAGGAGAAGUCGUAACAAGGUUUUCCGUAGGUGAACCUGCGGAAGGAUCAUUG
This 136-nucleotide ribosomal RNA is filed under the name Astragalus raphaelis. Its description in RNAcentral is "partial 18S ribosomal RNA". It matches the Rfam family "Eukaryotic small subunit ribosomal RNA", at positions 1701 to 1831 of the family's 1831-position model. The record is from RNAcentral. Lineage: Eukaryota; Viridiplantae; Streptophyta; Magnoliopsida; Fabales; Fabaceae.